UGCAGUCGAGCGAACCCUUCGGGGUGAGCGGCGGACGGGUGAGUAACGCGUGGGUAACCUGCCCUAUACACACGGAUAACGUACCGAAAGGUACGCUAAUACUAGAUGACAUAUUUUUAUCGCAUGGUAGAAAUAUCAAAGCUCCGGCGGUAUAGGAUGGACCCGCGUCUGAUUAGCUAGUUGGUAAGGUAAUGGCUUACCAAGGCGACGAUCAGUAGCCGACCUGAGAGGGUGAUCGGCCACAUUGGAACUGAGACACGGUCCAAACUCCUACGGGAGGCAGCAGUGGGGAAUAUUGCACAAUGGGCGAAAGCCUGAUGCAGCAACGCCGCGUGAGCGAUGAAGGCCUUCGGGUCGUAAAGCUCUGUCCUCAAGGAAGAUAAUGACGGUACUUGAGGAGGAAGCCCCGGCUAACUACGUGCCAGCAGCCGCGGUAAUACGUAGGGGGCUAGCGUUAUCCGGAAUUACUGGGCGUAAAGGGUGCGUAGGUGGUUUCUUAAGUCAGAGGUGAAAGGCUACGGCUCAACCGUAGUAAGCCUUUGAAACUGAGAAACUUGAGUGCAGGAGAGGAGAGUAGAAUUCCUAGUGUAGCGGUGAAAUGCGUAGAUAUUAGGAGGAAUACCAGUUGCGAAGGCGGCUCUCUGGACUGUAACUGACACUGAGGCACGAAAGCGUGGGGAGCAAACAGGAUUAGAUAUCCUGGUAGUCCACGCCGUAAACGAUGAGUACUAGCUGUCGGAGGUUACCCCCUUCGGUGGCGCAGCUAACGCAUUAAGUACUCCGCCUGGGAAGUACGCUCGCAAGAGUGAAACUCAAAGGAAUUGACGGGGACCCGCACAAGUAGCGGAGCAUGUGGUUUAAUUCGAAGCAACGCGAAGAACCUUACCUAAGCUUGACAUCCUUUUGACCUCUCCCUAAUCGGAGAUUUCCCUUCGGGGACAGAAGUGACAGGUGGUGCAUGGUUGUCGUCAGCUCGUGUCGUGAGAUGUUGGGUUAAGUCCCGCAACGAGCGCAACCCUUGCCUUUAGUUGCCAUCAUUAAGUUGGGCACUCUAGAGGGACUGCCAGGGAUAACCUGGAGGAAGGUGGGGAUGACGUCAAAUCAUCAUGCCCCUUAUGCUUAGGGCUACACACGUGCUACAAUGGGUGGUACAGAGGGCAGCCAAGUCGUGAGGCGGAGCUAAUCCCUUAAAGCCAUUCUCAGUUCGGAUUGUAGGCUGAAACUCGCCUACAUGAAGCUGGAGUUACUAGUAAUCGCAGAUCAGAAUGCUGCGGUGAAUGCGUUCCCGGGUCUUGUACACACCGCCCGUCACACCAUGGGAGUUGGGGGCGCCCGAAGCCGGUUAGCUAACCUUUGGAAGCGGCCGUCGA
RNAcentral lists this ribosomal RNA (1370 nucleotides) under uncultured bacterium. RNAcentral describes it as "bacterial SSU rRNA". It matches the Rfam family "Bacterial small subunit ribosomal RNA". The record is from RNAcentral.